Long non-coding RNA from Crotalus tigris (Tiger rattlesnake), 1298 nucleotides. RefSeq lists it as uncharacterized. Lineage: Eukaryota; Metazoa; Chordata; Lepidosauria; Squamata; Viperidae. The transcript is spliced from 3 exons. The record is from RefSeq and is a predicted model, not a curated record.
UAGAGAUAGCCCCAAGCCAAUUAGCUUGGUGGUGAAAUCAGUCAUUCCAAUUGUUUCGAAUAAGAAGACUCUUGACUAGCACAGAUGGGAAAGGUCUUUAUCUGGGCCUAUCGAAGAUGUGAACUGAAAAUUCAGAAAACAUUUAUGAACCUUUGGUAGGAUUUGAGCUCUUUUUCUUAAGUGUAAUUGGAAUGGCAGACUGGCACCUUCUCAUGGGGUUGAAUUGAAGUAGGUCACCCUGUCAUAUUCCACAUGGAAAUAAUUAUCAUCUAAAACAUGUCCAGCAGGAACAGAAGUUCUCAUUGGUUGCUGUAGAGAACAAUCGACAACAACAACACCCCCAUUAUGUAUAUUCUCUUUUGACACACAUCAUGAGAAUCACCAAGGCAGCAGAUGGUCCACGCACCAAUUCCUCCAGCGUCAAAACAUUUCUGUACUUGUUGUCAGGACCUUAAACUGCACCCUGUUCUGUUUGAUUAUUUUCAAAGUCUGAGCUGGCCACAGGGGUUCAGAUGAGAAAGAUUUGCAAAUCAGGAGGAAAAGAUGAAAGCAGAAAUGAAAAGCCAAACAACGACAUUGGAGAGAAAAACCUAUGAAAAAGCCCAACACUGGCUUAAUGGUCCUCUUUGAUUAUUUAUGAGUUUCUCCAGCACCGAAAGUAAAUAUUUUAAAUGACUUAGCAGGCAGCUGCCUGUUGAACUUCGGAACAAGCUAUUCUUAGGAGCAAAAAUAAUGAAGUUUGUCUUGUAGACUACAACUGAAGGAUUGGAAAUUUCUAAAGGACAAAGAAAACAACUGCCUAAAAAUUGGAGUCUGAUAUGAAAAUCUAAAUUGAGCUUUCCAUUCUGAGAUCACUGAUUUUUGUGGCUUCCAAAUGACAAUCAGAUUAAUAAAAGCAGAUUAAGAUUACCAAGAAAUGAACUUUGAAAUGAAAAAAUAUAAAAAUAAUCAAGGACAUUCCUGAUCCACAUAGGAAUGAGCUUCAUUGCAUCAUAAAAUAAACUUUUAGCACUUGAAACAUUGGUUACCAGAACUUCCUUUAAGGCUCAGAAAAUCGUCAAUGUCAAAUACAUUUGCAAGAUUUUGUUUCCCAUUCUGGGGUAAAUACAUUCAGUACAUUUACAUACAUAUCAAUAUUGUCAGAAUUUAGACAGUUUUUCCCAAUUUUGCCUGGUUGCAGUAGCUGUUCAUCCUGGGACUAUCUGGAGAACAUGAUUUGAGAAAGAUUAAUAUGAGUUUAGGAGCUCAAGAAUACCUGAAAGUUCUGAAUUGUUUAUAGAAUUUUAUAUGCAUACUUG